GCAGCUCCCGCCUGGCCGAGCCUCUCGGCGCCCCGCGCCCCGGGCGGGCAGAUAUCGAGCGCCGCGGAGCCGCCCCCCGCGUCAGCGCCCACAGAUUGGCGGAGCCGCCGCCCCACGAGUCACGGCUGGGCCCCGCUCUCCUUCCUCCCCUCGGCCGCGCCCCGCGACGCCUCUGCAGCUCCGGGCCCGCUAAGGAGAGGGCUCCUCCUGCCCGCGGUUUGCAGAGGGAGGCGGCGGAGACCGGGAGGGCGCGCUCGGUUCUGGCCAGGCCAGCAGCUGCGGCCGAGUGGGGGGCUCCGGCCUGGCCGCUUCCUGGGACCCCCUCCCGCCCGGGGCCGCCGCCGCCGCCGCCGCCAGCUGCAGCCUCUCGGCUCCUCCCCAGAGGAGCGCGGGGCCGGGGCCCAGGCCAAGUCCCUCCCCGGAGCCGCGGGGCGUCUGCGCCGCCGGAUGAGCUCCCCGCCGGGCGGCGACCCCGUGCCCCACGCCCGUCUCGGCAAGGAGGAGGCGGAGGCGGCCCCGCGAGAGAGGCCCAAGGAGCGACUGGGCCUGGACCCAGGGGACGCCAGGGCCGCGGAGCUCCCGGCACCGGUCCCACCCCCCCCUGCCCACCCGCGGGACGCGCCCGCCUUAACCCUCCAGGCGCCGGGCCCGCUGGGGGCGCUGAGAGGGGCUGGUGUGCUGGGGGCGCCUUCCUGCUUGGGGCCGACGGGGGUGUGUGAGUGCAGGCGUGUGCGUGUGUGUGCGCAUGUGUGUGUGUGGAUGUGCGUGUGCGUGUGUAUGCCUGUGUGUGUGCGUCUGUGUGCAUGUGUGUGUGUGCACAUGCAUGUGUGUUCACGUGAGUGCAUCUCAUCUGGCACCCACAACCAGGGGAGCGGUGCUUGUACAACCAGCUGGUGGCUUCUGCAACCAGCAGCUUCUGGCCGUGCAGCUCCCAGUAGGGAAUAUGAGUUAAUGUGGAUGUCAGCCUAAGAUGUAGUCAGGGAGGUAAGUGUGUGGGAGGAGGCCACAUCCCCUGCGCCUCAAGCCGGCUGCUUCCCCAGUGCCCAGACUGCCUGGGCCAGCAGCCUCGCCAGCAAGCCCAGGCGGGUGGGCUGGGAGCAGGGCUUGGGCCCCCACUCUUACUUUCACCAGCUGGCUGUGUUACCAGGGCCCUCCCUGCCCUCUCUGAGCCUCAGUUUCCUCUGAUGUGAAUUAAGGGCGUUGAGCCCAUUGUUCCUGAGGAAUCACUCAUCUCUGAGCCUGGCCCAUUGCCUGGCAUUCCGUGGGCACCCACUAGUUACUUACAAGGGGAGAAGUUGUUCCAGUCCGGCUGGCCAGUGGAAUCCAUGCGUCUUGGGCCAUUUGAAGUGAGUGAAGGGCUGGGUGCGGCCCACCUGGAGCUGGACUGGAGGCUGUGUUGGGUGGGGCGGUGUGACCUGGAGGUGGGCUGCCCCCUCAGGAGACAGCUUCACCCCUGUGAGUGGGCCUCAUCCUUCCUUCCUUCCACUCACAUGGACAGCACAUCUGUGUGUAGACGGGGUCACUGAGAGAGGCCAAGGAGUGUGAGCAGGAAGAUCCCAGGUGUGGGGGGAGUCCUGGGGGAGCAGACAGCAGGGACAGAAGCCUGUGGCAGGAAGGAAGGUCUUGGCCUGUGUUCUCCCAGCAAGGGUCCCCUUGGACUUGGAGUUCUAUAGGCUCCUGGCCCCCCCAUCUCUCCCGUGGUCUGCAGGACCUCGACGCAGAGCUGUGGCUAGUGUCUCGGGGCAGACAUGGGGCUCAGCAGGCCCCAUGGAACACAAUUAUCCAGUGUGGGGGGCCUCAUGGAGGUUCCCUGGGCACUUACUUUCACUUGCCUCCUGCCCCCCACUCCUGUCCCCUCCCAUCCUCACCCCCAGAGUGGUUUUUGGGAGCCCGGCAGCUAUCUGGACCCGUGUGCACCCCUGGACGCCUCCCUCCCUCGCAGAGGGUCCUGGUUCAUCUCGUCUGUUGCCUCUUAGAACAGUGGCCUCUACCUCACCAGGUCCUUCGGAAGCGCCCCCGUCCCUGCCCCGCCACUGUUUUCCCAUCAGCACCCGCCAUGGUCUGAAGACACUUUCUUCUGCUCCUGUUUAUUGUUUAUCUCCCCAAAGCACAAGCAGUCGAGUUAAGACAGGAGCCUCGUUCAAGGUUCCGCCCGGGGCCAGGCACAGCCCAGGCUCUCAGAGGAGGGCCCAGGAGUCCACAGGCUGUGGCGGCGCGAGACCAAAGUCGGAAGACAGGACCCCGCUGAGGAGUGAGGAGACAGCGGCCACCCCUCCGCCAGACCCUUCCGCCUGGUGCCUUUACUGGGCUCUGAGGAGGAAUUUGGUGGUUCAGUCGGCCCAUCCGUGGACACCAUGAAAACAAAGAGAAAACAGACACACACAGAUGCACACAUAGAUACACACAGAUGAUACACACAGACACAGAUAUAUAGACACACGCAGAUACACACACGUGGACACAGAUGAUACACUCAGACACAGAUAUAUAGACACACACAGAUACACACAUGUGGACACGAAGAAACACACACAGACACACACAGACUUACCCAUAGUUAUGGAUAUAUGCAUGGAUACACAAUACACAGACACACAGAUGAUACAUGCAUAGACAUAUAUGGACACACACACACGGACACACAGAUACACACAUAGACACAUGGACAGACACAGAUACAUGUAGACACACAUGGACAUACAAUACUCAGAUGAACACACAGAUAAUAUACACAUAGACACAGAUCUAUAGAUACACAAAGACAUACACACAGAUAUACAUAGAUGCACACAUAGACACAGAUACACAUGUCAUCACACAUGGACACACACAGACACACACCAAUACACACAUAGACAUACAAAGACACAGGUACACAGACACAUAUACACACAGACACACAUAUAUACACACAGACGCAGAUAUACACACACACACAUAGACACAGAUAUACACAGAUACAUGGACAGAUACACAUUCACAUACACACAUAGAGACACAGAAACACACAGACACACAGACACAUAGAGACACACACACAGCCACACAGGCCCUGAGCCUCCCUGGGCCCUCGCUUGUGCAGAGGCGGAGGGGCUGGCUGUCGGGGAGGGCACCUGGAGAGGACACACAGCCCCAUCAGAGACCAGGGAGGGUCUCUGAGAGCUCUUUUCGUCCGAAGGGGCUGGAGCUCCAGUUAGCCAAGGUGAGGGCGUGGAUUCCUGGGGGAAGCUUCCUGCUGCAAGGUGGAAAAGACAGAUAACAAGAGAAAAACAGAAGCUUAAUAGCAUGUAUACCUUGGUCUGCAAGGGACGGACUCAGGGGACAGGCUAUGUCUCAAAGAUGUGGCUUGGAGCUCAGCCUUAAAGACCACGUUCGACGGAAACAAAGAGAAAGAGUGUGUGGGGAGGGGCCCAAGAAAUUACCCCAAACUGGGGUCAGGCCUUCUCCGUGGAUGAGCGUCUCCGGUGACUUACAGCCGGCCUUCUGGCCCAGAGAGGGGGCACCCUGGUGAGCGCAGAUGCCUGUACGGAUGUGACUUUCUCUCACAGAACAGCAGCUUCCACUCUUGUUUUCAGAAUUUCUCCUGUGGUUGCAGUUUCUCAAAAUAAGCAGCUCAAAAUAAUGCUUAUGCCAAAGAGGCAUAUUUUGGGGUGGCAUAUUCUGGUCUGCUCUACGUGGAAGCGGACAGAAAAAUGGGGCAGAGGCCGGGGAGGGGAGCGGGACCGACUUCCAGUUCCCAGACCCGAGCAAGGGAACCUGAGGCCGAGCUCUGGAGCUUGGGGUCUGGAAGGGGUUCUCUGAGGACACUCUGGGAGUGGGGGGAACAGCUGCCUCCUCAGGUUUCCCCCAAGGGAUCCUGCCUGGGGAGACCUGGACUGGGCAAGGCUUGGCAGCUGCCCUGCCAGGAGGAGGGAGACAGGGCUGCAGUGGGGGGGUGCAGGGUCGCUGGGGUCCCACCCGGGGGUGCUGGGACCGGCCAGAGGACACACUGCGAUUUCCCAAUGGGCCAGGAAGGAAGGAGGCGCUUUCCAGGCAGAGCAUGACCCCGCACAGGAGGCAGAGACAGAGUCUCUGAGUGUCCCCGUCAGGUCCCUGGGACUGUGGCAGGGGAAGAAGCCGCAGUACCUCCUGCCCUUUAGGACAGGAGACGUUGUCAUCCCAGCAUUGCCCAGCAGCUGGUUGGAGCCCAGGGCUCCUCAGAUGAGCCAGCGCCUGAGCCCUGAGCUGCCAGCUGGCCUGGCUGGAGCCGCCACUGAUCUUCCCAGGAGAAAGAGGCCGCCGUGGGUAAGUAGCGAGGUGUAAGAGGACGCGUAGAGCCGUGUCGCUCGUGCAAGAAGGGGAAAGAAGGAAGCCCGUCUGCAUGGCUGCGCAGGGGAUAUUGGAACAGAACUGAAGGAACUCAUGCAAUGCUCAUCUGUGAAGGGGGCACCGCGAUGUAUGGACAAGGGUGGGAAAGGGAUGCUGGGCCAUAAAGUUUGGGGUGCGUGAUGGCGUGGAGGAGAAAGCCCUCCUGGGAGCUGUGGCCAGGGGGUGUGCAGUCCACGAGCAGAUGGAGCUUUACGUGCCUCCCACCUCCUCCCAGGGGCCCCCCACGACUCGCUGAGGCCCCAUCAGCAACAGGAUGACGGGUUUUCUUUCCCACACAGAUCGGGGACCUCCCAGCCUCCUGGGGUGGGGCAGAGGUGGGCACCGCAGCCCAAGAGCUGGCUUUCCCCCUGCACCUCCACCCAUGCGUUGGCCUGGAGUGGCCCAGCGGAGGGUCCAGGUGGGGGUGCUGGAGGGGCCCACCCAGCUCAGGCCUGGCACCUGCACCUUUCUGGAUCCCACGAUGUUUUGCUGAGGGUUACUCAUCCAAGACCUGCCCGGAGGCUCCGAGCUGUUUACCACAGGCCAGCUCUGGCCGUAGGCUAUUCUGGGAGCCUGGGGGGGGCUGGGAGGAGGCUGGGGCUCUGGGUGGCAGGAGGAGGAGAGCCGUCUUGUCCUUACUGAGCGUCCAGCGGGCGCCAGAUGCUGCGCCGCGUGCAAUUCUAAUCCUGGCCGGCAAAGCCAGAAGGGGACAAUAUUCCUUCCUCCCCAGGCCUCCCGCUUGGCUGCGGGUGCUGACGGUCAAUGGGCCUGGCUAUCGGGGCUCACAGGGGAGCCGGGAGAGCCGCUAACAGGAGAAAAUGUGAGCUCUGCAUCUGCUGGGCUGGGUUCGAGGGACGCGGGGUGGCUGGGGAGGGUCGUGCUGGUCCCUCCGGCUGCUGUUGCUGGCCGGCCGGCCAGUCCGCCCCAGCGCUGGACUCCUGGGCUAUCCGUUCCCCACCCACCGUCUGAGGGUCUUUGAAAAUAGAACUCACUUGUUUUCAGUAAAAGCAACAGAUCAAGAAGCCGAAAACACAAGAAUAAAACAAUGUAAAAGCUUGA
Molecule: long non-coding RNA, 5406 nt
Organism: Pan troglodytes (chimpanzee)
Lineage: Eukaryota; Metazoa; Chordata; Mammalia; Primates; Hominidae
Exons: 2
Source: RefSeq, a predicted model, not a curated record